RNAcentral lists this ribosomal RNA (468 nucleotides) under uncultured bacterium. RNAcentral's name for it is "partial 16S ribosomal RNA". It matches the Rfam family "Bacterial small subunit ribosomal RNA", at positions 28 to 507 of the family's 1533-position model. The record is from RNAcentral.
GACGAACGCUGGCGGCGUGCUUAACACAUGCAAGUCGAACGGAAAGGCCCUGCUUUUGUGGGGUGCUCGAGUGGCGAACGGGUGAGUAACACGUGAGUAACCUGCCCUUGACUUUGGGAUAACUUCAGGAAACUGGGGCUAAUACCGGAUAGGAGCUCCUGCUGCAUGGUGGGGGUUGGAAAGUUUCGGCGGUUGGGGAUGGACUCGCGGCUUAUCAGCUUGUUGGUGGGGUAGUGGCUUACCAAGGCUUUGACGGGUAGCCGGCCUGAGAGGGUGACCGGCCACAUUGGGACUGAGAUACGGCCCAGACUCCUACGGGAGGCAGCAGUGGGAAAUAUUGCACAAUGGGCGGAAGCCUGAUGCAGCAACGCCGCGUGCGGGAUGACAGCCUUCGGGUUGUAAACCGCUUUCGCCUGUGACGAAGCGUGAGUGACGGUAAUGGGUAAAGAAGCACCGGCUAACUACGUG